Etheostoma spectabile (orangethroat darter) is the source of this 121-nucleotide long non-coding RNA. RefSeq lists it as uncharacterized. The transcript is spliced from 3 exons. Lineage: Eukaryota; Metazoa; Chordata; Actinopteri; Perciformes; Percidae. The record is from RefSeq and is a predicted model, not a curated record.
AUUGUCAACAAAAGGAAAUGCCAUGUUAUGAGAAGAAAAAACGUUUUAUAGUCUGCUUAACAAGGUUAAUAAACCAACCCUGAUUCGUUAUUCAUGCCAAUAAUAAAAUGGCCUAAAAUGC